Molecule: ribosomal RNA, 406 nt
Filed under: uncultured bacterium
Lineage: Bacteria
Description: partial 16S ribosomal RNA
Rfam family: Bacterial small subunit ribosomal RNA
Source: RNAcentral
AUUGAACGCUGGCGGCAGGCUUAACACAUGCAAGUCGAGCGAGCGGCGGACGGGUGAGCAAUGUCUGGGAAACUUCCUGAGGGAGAGGGUUAACUACUGGGCACGGUAGCUAAUACCGCAUUCCAUCGGCUGUGCCCAAAUGGGAUUAGCUAGUAGGUGGGGUAAUGGAUCACCAAGGCGAGGAUCCCUAGCUGGUCUGAGAGGAGGACCAGCCACACUGGAACUGAGACACGGUCCAGACUCCUACGGGAGGCAGCAGUGGGGAAUAUUGCACAAUGGGUGCAAGCCUGAUGCAGCCAUGCCGCGUGUGUGAAGAAGGCCUUCGGGUUGUAAAGCACUUUAAGCGAGGAGGCGUUACUCGCAGAAGAAGCACCGGCUAACUCCGUGCCAGCAGCCGCGGUAAUAC